Molecule: small nucleolar RNA, 107 nt
Filed under: Sclerotinia sclerotiorum 1980 UF-70
Lineage: Eukaryota; Fungi; Ascomycota; Leotiomycetes; Helotiales; Sclerotiniaceae
Description: small nucleolar RNA SNORD14
Source: RNAcentral
UCACCAUGAUGAAACACAUACCACAUUCGCAGUUUUCACUCGAGUCCUCGCCUUAGAACCUAAAUAGAGGACAGAUGAGGGUCAAUCUUCCUUGGAUGUCUGAUUAA